GUAGUCUAAAAGCAGCCUGUUGGUAGGAAAUAGCUAACAGAGUCAGCUUUGCUCUGCAUUGAACUACAGGAAAACCCUCCACUGAUUUUCUUAUUAGACCCCAGAUGUGCUACCCCAGACUUCUGCACACCCCCAAUUAAGUCAAUGGUGCUCCUCAAUGGUACAUCCCAUGAUAUCUAUUUGUCAAAGCCAGUUCCUUUGACUAUGUGCUGGGGUAAAGAAAGUCAUCCCUCCACUACUAGGUUGCACUUCUCUAUUGAAACUGCCAUGGGACUACUCACAUGAGGAAUAGCUACAGAAUUUGUGUCUUUUGAUCUGGAGCAGGUGAUAGGAGGAUGCCUCCAAAUGAUCAGAGCGAGAGUAAUGGCAGUUCUGGAGAAAAACAUGAGUUAUGGCUUCCAGUAUGGAGGGAAAAGUGACUGAGUGUUUAUCCAGAGAGGAGAGUUAAACUGCAUACAAAGGCAGGGACUUGCAGUUUGCAAACAGACAAAUUGGAACCUGUUCUAAAAGUGAAUCAUCAGAACAUGAAAACGCUCUUGGUCGAAAUAGGAGAAAAAACAGUUAAUUUCAAUCAUGAUGACAGUUUUUUGGUGAACAAUAGUCUCCCUGAGUUGACAUGGAGAAGUAAUGAAUGAAUGAAAGGAGAACUGAGUCACAGCUGCACUUUGCAAUCACUUUUGAACAUCUACACUCUUCUAGCCAAAAUACUAUU
This is a long non-coding RNA of Mauremys mutica (yellowpond turtle), 712 nucleotides long. RefSeq lists it as uncharacterized. The record is from RefSeq and is a predicted model, not a curated record. Lineage: Eukaryota; Metazoa; Chordata; Testudines; Geoemydidae. The transcript has 5 exons.